This 266-nucleotide ribosomal RNA is filed under the name unidentified marine bacterioplankton. RNAcentral describes it as "partial 16S ribosomal RNA". It matches the Rfam family "Bacterial small subunit ribosomal RNA", at positions 72 to 339 of the family's 1533-position model. The record is from RNAcentral.
UAUAGUGCUUGCACUAUAGAGACCGGCGCACGGGUGCGCAACGCGUAUGCAAAUCACCUUAUACAGGGGGAAUAGCCCAGGGAAACUUGGAUUAAUGCCCCAUAAUAUCAUUAAGUAGCAUUACUUGAUGAUUAAAGAUUUAUCGGUAUAAGAUGAGCAUGCGUCCAUUAGUUAGUUGGUAAGGUAACGGCUUACCAAGACAGCGAUGGGUAGGGGCCCUGAGAGGGGGAUCCCCCACACUGGUACUGAGACACGGACCAGACUCC